Non-coding RNA from Pelobates cultripes (western spadefoot toad), 1803 nucleotides. The record is from the annotation of a GenBank genome assembly. Lineage: Eukaryota; Metazoa; Chordata; Amphibia; Anura; Pelobatidae.
AUAUUCUAUAUUUAAUAGUUAUGUAAUAUACAAAUGUAGAAUUUUGACUUCUCUUUUCCGCUAUUGGUGACUUAUUUUCACUUGAUCUGUAAACCAAAUCACUGUACUGCCAAACAUCUCAAAUAUAAUAUUAAAGGGUUACUCCAACCACCAUUACUAUUUCUUUUUGAAGUGUUCAUGGUGGUAGGAGUCUGGAUGUGCAGUAUUUCAGCUUGAAAGACUGAACAUCCGGUGUAAUUUUCACUUGUGUGCUGUAGGUAAGUUGCACCACAAGCACACAUCACAUUGGCAGCCCAAAACUCUGUACCCGGCCUACCUAAUGUCAGUUCUGUGCAAAAAAUAAGUCAGUUGUAGAGCGCACUGCACACAGGUGAAAAAAUUAUACUGCUUCUUGUUUUCCCUCCCACCCACACUGAAGGAAGCCCUCCCUCCUCCCAAUCCCAUCUGCAAUUUUUUUUAAUCCCCACCUUCUCUCUCGCCCUCCCUUUGCUUGCUCAGAGCAUGCGCCUUGAGCCGGUAAAAUAGUCCAAUCAAAAGCUUCUCAAUGAAAAGCCUAUGAUUGGUCCUUGGUGCAGUUCUUGUGAUGUCAGAUGGUGGAGCUUCACAUGGGGCUGGAUUAAGGUAAGUACAUUUUAUUUUAAAACGCUCUCUGAGCAUUUUUCUUGAGUAGACUGAUAGAAUAAUGCCAAUAGGACAUUAUUCUAUCCUAAAUGAAAAAGGUUUUCGAGUCUCCUUUAUUUUCUUUCUAAAUUCUUAAUGUCUCUAACUGUGUGAUCUUUUCUGGUUAAAACCUUUGUGUAGAGCAAAGACAGAAACCUGGAAUUAAGUAGCAAAUCAAGUAAGUAUUGUUUGAGCUUCUCAACAUGAGGUUAAUGUUUCUGCACUUUGUUAUUGUGGCAAACUCACUCAUUUAAGGGAGUUUACCAUGAGUUCUUGGAGGGGGCUGCUUGCCCGCCUCCUGCCUUGUGACUAUGGCCCCUGUGUUAAACUCUGGUUCAGGACUGGAGAGAGACUGUUGUUCAUGUGUUUUCCCUGCACUGCUUCAUUGAAUAGAGCUUGUUGAAUGGAUUAUGCUAAUGUUGUUCGAACGACCAACCACCCUGCAUGUGGAGUGUGCGGCUUGUUAACCACCCAGAAGUUGUGGUUAACCGCAGCUUAAUUGGCAAACCGCUGGGGGGUCGGCGUUAGUAUGAACGAACACGUGGCGGCGGCCAUUUUGUUUAGCAGAACCCGCUCAGCGGUGUUUGGUCGACGAACUCCUGGAACUGUUUUCGGCUACUAGUUUUACGAACACCGCUGAGACUUCUACCUUCCGUGCGUUCGGCUAAAACCAUACGAACGGAGCACUAUUUUAAGGGCAUGAACUGUCGAACGAGACCAUUACAAUGAAAGUAUGCACGAACAGAUCCGUUCGUGCAAUCUGUACUUUAAACAAAUGUGAAGAUAGACCGACUGCACAGCCUAAAUCAAUGGAACCCUUUUGGGCAUAAAAGCCAUACUUGCGGUUGGUCAAAUAUGACUUCCAGCUAACUCCCGAAUGGCUAAACGGAUUCGAAUGAUUUUUGGAUAUGUUUGUCCCCUAUGUGUGCUGAUUCUGAAAAUGUAAUGAUGUUUUAUAUGAAUGUGUUGUAUAAUUGUGGAGUUAUAGAAAUUGGGUAAAAAUGUGUGUUUAAACUGUACAGUUAAUUAUGUUAUAUCCCAAGCAGAGGGGAGGGAAUGUGUGGGUUGUAACCAUUGUUUGAUUGGCUAAUGUAUAAUUGUCUGUGGUUGUCUCCCUUGCAUGGAAGAACUGCAUAAAAAGAG